RNAcentral lists this long non-coding RNA (245 nucleotides) under Lotus japonicus. RNAcentral describes it as "long non-coding RNA (LJAP_LNC000467)". Lineage: Eukaryota; Viridiplantae; Streptophyta; Magnoliopsida; Fabales; Fabaceae. The record is from RNAcentral.
UUCAAUUUCGUAUUUGGGUCAUUUUAUUCGACGACCCCGACAACCACCGUCGACCUUCGGCUGAACUUUCUGGGCAAACCGUCAAUCCUUUGGGGAAACGGACAGCGCCUUUAAGCUUCUGGCCGCGAAAGGAUGAAUGAACAACCUUUCUUUGUGUCUCCGGCGACAGUUCCUCCGUCAACCCCGUGAGCCACAACUUUCUCUAGCGACUCUUCGCCGACAAGUUUCAGAAACUUGAUUUUCGU